RNAcentral lists this ribosomal RNA (468 nucleotides) under uncultured bacterium. Its description in RNAcentral is "partial 16S ribosomal RNA". It matches the Rfam family "Bacterial small subunit ribosomal RNA", at positions 28 to 507 of the family's 1533-position model. The record is from RNAcentral.
GACGAACGCUGGCGGCGUGCUUAACACAUGCAAGUCGAACGGAGAAAGCGUGCUUUUGUCGGGUGCUUGAGUGGCGAACGGGUGAGUAACACGUGAGUAACCUGCCCCUUACUUCGGGAUAUCUUCAGGAAACUGUUGCUAAUACCGGAUAUGCGCUCCUGCUGCAUGUGUAUGGUUGGAAAGUUUCGUCGGUUAGGGAUGGGCUCGCGGCUUAUCAGCUUGUUGGUGGGGUAGUGGCUUACCAAGGCUUUGACGGGUAGCCGGCCUGAGAGGGUGACCGGCCACAUUGGGACUGAGAUACGGCCCAGACUCCUACGGGAGGCAGCAGUGGGGAAUAUUGCACAAUGGGCGGAAGCCUGAUGCAGCAACGCCGCGUGAGGGAUGACGGCCUUCGGGUUGUAAACCGCUUUCAGCAGGGAAGAAGCGUGAGUGACGGUAAUGGCAGAAGAAGCACCGGCUAACUACGUG